GGGCACUUGGCACAGUGGUAGCGCGCACGCUUCGCAUGUUGUGUUUGCGUGAGGUCUGGAGUUCGAUCCUCCAAGUGUCCA
RNAcentral lists this transfer RNA (81 nucleotides) under Neolentinus lepideus HHB14362 ss-1. Its description in RNAcentral is "tRNA-Ala". It matches the Rfam family "tRNA". Rfam says of the family: Transfer RNA (tRNA) molecules are approximately 80 nucleotides in length. Their secondary structure includes four short double-helical elements and three loops (D, anti-codon, and T loops). The record is from RNAcentral. Lineage: Eukaryota; Fungi; Basidiomycota; Agaricomycetes; Gloeophyllales; Gloeophyllaceae.